GGAAAUCUCAAGUGACAUUCAACUAAAAUAUAACUGCGGACCAUUUAAAUAUACAUUUUUACAUCAUCUGGACAAGGAGAUGUCUUAUAGCACAAUUUUGAAACAUGCACGACAAUGAGCUUGUAUUGAAACCAUCUCAUAUCAUGCAUUAGCACCAUUUAAGAUUAUCUAUUUAUAUAUAGCUACCAACACACGCUCUAGAUCCCUAAUUUCCAACCCGAAAUUAUUUUUUAAAAAAAAAAAUCUACUUUCAAUUCUACCACAAGUCAGAAAUUUACAAGAAUGUGAUGGAAGGAUUCCCAAUCAUUAGUGACCCUUCUCUUCCUCAUCGAAAUGUAGGCUCUCGAUUCCUUUCAGUGUGGAUUCAUAGUUCUUCACACCAGGGACAGAUGAAGCAUGUUUAGUAGGAUCUGAUGAUCCAACAAGAGGGGAGAUUCUCUGUCCACUUGAUAUUUUGUGCAUGGUCGCUGGACUAGCCUCAGGCGCUCGAGAACGUGUAGGAUCAGAGCCAUUUCCUACACUGGAAGUCUCACGGCUGCCAGACACUAGACCUCGCCGCAAUGAUCCACUUGAUCGUCCCAGGAAAGUAGAGCUUGGCAACAUAGCAUUCUUGCUGGUAGAAUCAUUUCUGAGAGGACUCUUCUGCUUGGACAAACUUCCUGCAUUUACAAGCGGCCCAGAAUAUCUCCUUCGAGAAGCAUCUGCUAGUUGUCUUCCUUCUUCCUCACCUGACGGCCUUUCUGCACUAGGGAUAACCGGGGGCAUGCCUGAGCUGGUUCCAGCACCAGUGCCAAGAGGUCGGGAAGGAGGAGCUGCGAUUUGCGAUUGCUGAUAUUUCAAUAUAGUCCAAUCAAAAACAUAGUCAAACUGAAAGCCUUCGCGGAUGAAGAGGUCACGAAAUAUUCUCUUCAGAUAAGCAUAAUCUGGUUUAUCCUCAAAGCGUAGUGAACGACAAAAAUGGAAAUAGGAUGCAAAUUCAGUAGGAUAACCCCGGCAUAAAGCCUCAAUAGAUGUUGACACCUUCUUUUCACUAAUUUUAUCAUAUUUCUGCUUCUUAGUACCAGCUUUCAAUCCCUGCCAUGGAAGACUUCCCCUAAGAAAAUACAUAAGCACAUAACCCAGAGAUUCCAGAUCAUCU
This 1138-nucleotide unclassified non-coding RNA is filed under the name Hevea brasiliensis (rubber tree). The record is from RNAcentral. Lineage: Eukaryota; Viridiplantae; Streptophyta; Magnoliopsida; Malpighiales; Euphorbiaceae.